This 138-nucleotide ribosomal RNA is filed under the name uncultured bacterium. RNAcentral describes it as "partial 16S ribosomal RNA". It matches the Rfam family "Bacterial small subunit ribosomal RNA", at positions 337 to 469 of the family's 1533-position model. The record is from RNAcentral.
UCCUACGGGAGGCAGCAGUAGGGAAUCUUCGGCAAUGGACGAAAGUCUGACCGAGCAACGCCGCGUGAGUGAAGAAGGUUUUCGGAUCGUAAAACUCUGUUGGUAGAGAAGAACGUUGGUGAGAGUGGAAAGCUCAUC